RNAcentral lists this long non-coding RNA (349 nucleotides) under Drosophila guanche. The record is from RNAcentral. Lineage: Eukaryota; Metazoa; Arthropoda; Insecta; Diptera; Drosophilidae.
AUUGCGUUGCGUUUCGUUUCGUUAUUGUUGUUCAUUGUCGAAAUUGUGUGCCGCUUGUAAUCCGUUGAUUUGGCUCUGGCCGCCUGCAGGAAACUCUGCGGGUGGGCUGCCUGACAUUUUGCAGUCGACUGGCUGCUGCCGUCAUCGAUGAAUGGUGGAUGACUGAGGUGUAAUCAUAAUUUCCCCCAGCUACUGUGGAGCACCUUUGGGCCCACAGUCAUACAAUAAAUCAGCAGAGAGAAAGCGAAGAACUAUUGACACAGCCAACGGGUUGGCCAUAAAUCAGCGAUGGGGGAAUCCUGGACAGCAGGUCCUAAACAAAUUGCAACACAGAUAUGUACGUAGCGUC